Molecule: ribosomal RNA, 473 nt
Filed under: uncultured organism
Description: partial 16S ribosomal RNA
Rfam family: Bacterial small subunit ribosomal RNA
Source: RNAcentral
ACACUCCUACGGGAGGCAGCAGUGGGGAAUUUUGGACAAUGGGCGAAAGCCUGAUCCAGCAAUGCCGCGUGAGUGAAGAAGGCCUUCGGGUUGUAAAGCUCUUUUGUCAGGGAAGAAACGGUGAAAGCUAAUAUCUUUUGCUAAUGACGGUACCUGAAGAAUAAGCACCGGCUAACUACGUGCCAGCAGCCGCGGUAAUACGUAGGGUGCAAGCGUUAAUCGGAAUUACUGGGCGUAAAGCGUGCGCAGGCGGUUUUGUAAGUCUGAUGUGAAAUCCCCGGGCUCAACCUGGGAAUUGCAUUGGAGACUGCAAGGCUAUAAUCUGGCAGAGGGGGGUAGAAUUCCACGUGUAGCAGUGAAAUGCGUAGAUAUGUGGAGGAACACCGAUGGCGAAGGCAGCCCCCUGGGUCAAGAUUGACGCUCAUGUACGAAAGCGUGGGGAGCAAACAGGAUUAGAUACCCCGGUAGUCCCA